RNAcentral lists this unclassified non-coding RNA (404 nucleotides) under soil metagenome. RNAcentral describes it as "partial contains 5.8S ribosomal RNA, internal transcribed spacer 2, and large subunit ribosomal RNA". The stretch from base 1 to 122 matches the Rfam family "5.8S ribosomal RNA", at positions 35 to 154 of the family's 154-position model. The record is from RNAcentral.
GAUGAAGAACGUAGCAAAAUGCGAUACUUGGUGUGAAUUGCAGAAUCCCGUGAACCAUCGAGUUUUUGAACGCAAGUUGCGCCCGAAGCCUUUUGGCCGAGGGCACGUCUGCCUGGGCGUCACGCAUCGCGUCGCCCCCCACAAUUCUUCGUAAAGGGAACAUGUGUUUUGGGGGCGGAUAUUGGUCUCCCGUGCUCAUGGCGUGGUUGGCCGAAAUAGGAGUCCUUUCGAUGGACGCACGAACUAGUGGUGGUCGUAAAAACCCUCGUCUUUUGUUUUGUGCUGUUGCUCGCAAGGUAAACUCUUUAAAAACCCCAAUGUGCCGUCUCUUGACGACGCUUCAACCGCGACCCCAGGUCAGGCGGGACUACCCGCUGAGUUUAAGCAUAUCAAUAAGCGGAGGA